UCACAGUGUGUCUCAGAUGUUGACCACACAGGCGGACAGAUUCUCCCCUGAAGAGCUGGGAGAGAUGUUCACAGCGUUCCCUCCAGAUGUGGCAGGAAACCUGGACUACAAGAACCUCGUGCACAUCAUCACGCACGGAGAGGAGAAAGACCAGGAAUAAAUGAUCCUCUGAUUUAAAAACAAACGUGCAGAAAAUGAGCAGAAAUACAAAUAAAAUGUCUCACGUUGUAUUUUGUAUUAUGGUAUCAACACAUUUUAAUGUAGUCAUAAUAGUCGGUGUAUGUGUCUAUAAAUACUGCAAUCUCUUGAUGUGUAUUUUGUGAAAUUAAAAGUUUGACACCAAGAAAGGAAGUGUGUUAAUUAAAUAUAUUAAUAUUUUGUCCACAACUGGUCGUACACUUUAUCCUAGACAUUUGAAGUCCCAUUCUCAAUCCUAAUUCUCAAAAAAAGACACAAUUUCAUUCUGUAUUUAAAAAUGAAGCCUCGCAAUUGGUAAUGCACAAGUAUAAUUUUCACCCUCUGUCCACUUGAUGUGUAUCUAUAGACAAGUCAAAGUACCGUUUCUCACCGUCCCAAAUAAUACAAACAUACACAUAUACUACAUUGUUACUUGUUAUACAUACAUAUACACACCUGAACACACACAUACUCACAUUCAACUUCUUUCUUUCUCAGCUUGAAGUGUUGCUAUUCUACUUUUAUUUUCACACUUUAUUUAGGUAGCUUAAAGCCAUUUUCUCCAUCCAGUCCAUUGUUUUAGUCAUCAAAAUACGAUUUUAGACAAAUGAACUCACAUAUUGUAAUACAGGAAGUUCUGUUUUGUUUUUAUUUCUCUGUCAACCUUGAUGUGUGCUAUUCUUUUGCUUUUGGACACUUUAUCCAAUUAUUUAAAGAUACCUAAAAACACGAUUUUCUUUCUGUAUAUUUAAAAUGAGCUCACACAACUUG
Long non-coding RNA from Notothenia coriiceps (black rockcod), 948 nucleotides. RefSeq lists it as uncharacterized. The record is from RefSeq and is a predicted model, not a curated record. Lineage: Eukaryota; Metazoa; Chordata; Actinopteri; Perciformes; Nototheniidae. The transcript is spliced from 2 exons.